GCUUACGACCACACCGGCCUGAGUACGCCUGAUCUCGUCUGAUCUCGGAAAGCUAAGCAGGGUCGGGCCUGGUUAGUACUUGGAUGGGAGACUUCCUGGGAAUACCAGGUGCUGUAAGCU
Ribosomal RNA from Oncorhynchus tshawytscha (Chinook salmon), 120 nucleotides. NCBI's taxonomy places the organism in Eukaryota, Metazoa, Chordata, Actinopteri, Salmoniformes, Salmonidae. The record is from Ensembl.